Molecule: unclassified non-coding RNA, 342 nt
Filed under: Hevea brasiliensis (rubber tree)
Lineage: Eukaryota; Viridiplantae; Streptophyta; Magnoliopsida; Malpighiales; Euphorbiaceae
Source: RNAcentral
GAUAGAUCGGAGGAUCACUAUCCGGAAUCUUCCAAUAAGGUUUCUGUUACAACGACUGGGAUAAGUAAAAGCGAAAUCCCUCUGGUGUAUGCAGGAGAUACAGGUGACAAUUCUAGAAUUCUGAGUGACUGCCGUGAAUGCAAAACAAGGUCGGAUGAUUCAGUGGUGGAUAAAGAAAGUGAGUUUGAGAGCGCUUCAGAUGAUGUAGAAAACAAGUUUGAUUCCUCAUCUUUGGUUCCCUUGACUGGUUACAAGGUGCAUUCUCUAACGGUAGAUACGAACCAAACCUGUCAGCUGGUAAGCUCUAUCACGCCGUGUACGGAAGGAAUUUUACUACUUUGG